UAAACGAACGGCGCACCAGAGAGGAUGCGUCGGGAACCUUCUCUCACCUUUCCUGGAGAAAUCCGCGGGCAACUGCGUGUUUCCCACGGCGUGUUUCCAACUUGCCGUUCUUAUGCAGCACCGACCGAUCUUCCACGGGCAACUGCGUGUAUCCCACGGCGUGUUUCCAACUUGCCGUUCUUAUGCAGCAACGACCGACCCUUCCCACCGAUUCAUUCUUGUCGGCCACAACUAAGAAGGAAUUCCAUCUCAGCCGUUGCUUCUUUCCUUUACACUCUGAUCUGGAUCGUUGGCUGCCUCGCUUGAAAUCUAUAAGUGACGGGACUCCCUGCCCUUCCUUGCCACCGUUGUUUUGGUUUCUGGUAUGCGUCGUUCCGUGUCUCCUUAGCCACCCGUUGAUCGUCGAAGGCGGUGCACCCAAUUCCUCAGCCGUCCGUUUUUCGUUCAUUUCGUCUUCGAAUUGGAUGAUCUGUUCUCGAUAGGUGGUGCAUCCAAAGCCUUUUAAUCGUGUGAUUUCGGAUUCGGGCACUUGAAAUUGGUAUUGAGCGAAUCGGAAGAUCUGAUUUUGAUGGAUGGUAGAUCAAAAGCCUUUCAAAUCUUGUGGUUUUCGUUAUUGAGCAGUUGAAAUUGGUCUUGAACGAAUUGGGUAAUCUAUUUUCGAUCGAUGAUGGAUCGGAAAAUUUUGAUAUAUGUCGUUUUAGUUUUCGAGCACUUCAAACACGAAAUUGGAUGAUCUAUUUUCCUAAGAAAUACGGAAGGUUGAGAGGGGACUUCACAAGUUGCAGGAUUUUUUAUGCUCCUAGUUUUUUGAAAGAUUAAAUUAUCCUAACUCGCUUGUACCAUGAUCCCAAAUUCUCGAUCUCUCCUUUGUGGCAGAUUUUAUAUAUAUCAUCGACGCGGCUGGUGGUUGGUGAGGCUGUGGUGUUUAUAUGGUUUUUAUCUGUAUGGAGCCCACACUGAGCCUGUGAUGAAGAUUGUUAAGGAUCCUCUGGUUUCCGUUGAAUGAUAAAAAUAGGUUUUCGAUUAGAUAGUGGUUUAUUUAAGGGGUUUCUUUGCUGUGACACACACCGCUUAUUAUCAUGGAUGCAGGUCUUCAGAAAUGCUCUCAACAAUGGAUGUGUCCGGUUUGUGCUGGUUUAGUUGGCCCUCGUUACUUUCAACUAUCAUUUGUUGUACUUAUGUGCACAAGUCAGUUAUUUUGAUACGGUUCUCAUCAAAAUAUGGUUGUUUGUUUUAUUUGUUGUGCAAGGGAAAGCUGAUGGACAUCUAGUUUUGCAUGGGCAUGUGACAGUAUCUUUUUGAAAGAGAGAUGUGAUUGUUUUGCUCUCUUUUUUCAGCAUUGGCAGUUUAAUUUGUUGCUUAUUUUCCCUGUCUACUACUUCCGUUGGCAUGCUUGGUACAUUUUAUAAAUUUGCACUUUUGAUGUGAGUCUUUCUCUAUGUUUUCUGAAUGUUAAAUUUUCACAUUUUAUAAAUUUGCACUUUUUAUAAAUUUGCAAAUUUAUAAAUUUGCACUUUUUAUAAAUUUGCAAAUUUAUAAAUUUGCACUUUUUGUUUGCAGUUGCAGAAGGAUCAGCAUUAGCCAUAAGUCUGGUAAAUAGACAUGGUUACUGACCUUUCUUGGAUUGUAUUUGGUAUGAGAAGUGGGUUUACAUUUUUGGUAAGGUUAGUUUAGAUUUAGGAGUCCAAAUUAUUCCCAAAAAUUUGAGAUUUUAUGUUUUUAUCCAAAUGUUAAUUGUUCUUGUUGUCAUGAAUUUUCAGCAGUUACUUGCUGGACUAGUCUUAUUAGAAGAUUAUUUGAACUUCUCAUUUGUCUCUUCUGGGAUUCUUUGUCAGAUAUCUACUUUGCAGCUUAGUUGUCUUUUUGUUUUAACCUGCUUCUGGUCAGGUCAUGAGGUAUUUGGUUCCAGUUAUCUUAUAGAUGUUUUUGAGUAUGAUGAUGAAUCAUAGGAAAUAUGGAAGAUCGAGAGUUUAGGAAUUAUGGCAGCUUCAAUUGGUUCUAGUUGAUUCCGAUUAUUAUUUUAAUUACUUGAGGUUUUCCGUUGCCAGAGGACUGCACAGUAUUUAUGGUUUAUAUGCUUCUAGUGCUUUGAAAGAUUGAUUGUUAUAACUCGUGAAUACCUUGAUCCAGAAUUCUCGAGCUCUCUUUUGUGGCAGAUUCUAUAUGCAGUUGGUGAGGCUGUGUUGUGUAUGUGGUUAUUAUCUGUAUGGAGCCCACACAGACCCUAUGAUGCAGUUUGUUCAGGAUGCUCUGGUUUCCUUUGAAUGAUUAAAAUAGGUUUUCCGUUAGAUUCUGUUAUAUUUUAGGGGGUUCUUUGCUGUGAAAUACACUGCUUAUUAUCAUGGAUGCAGGUCUUCUGAAAUGCUCUGAACCAGAGUCUGAACAAUGAAUAUGUCCAGUUUGUGCUGGUUUAUUUGGCCCUCAUUACUUUCAACUAUUAUUUGUUGCACUUGUCUGCACAAGUUGGUCAUUUGAUACGGUUCUCAUCAAAAUAUGGUUGUUUGUUUUUAUUUGUUGUGUGCAAGGGAAAGGAGAUGGACAUCUAUUUUUGCAUGGACAUGUGAGUAGUUUUUUGAAAGAGAGAUGUGUGUGUUUUGCUACUUUCCUAUGGUAUUUGGUUUUAAAUAUGCUCUAACCCUUUGAUCAACUUUGCUGUGCCUGUUGUAUAUCUCUAGUUGGAUGUAGACGGGUCUCAAGUAAGAAGUUCCAUUAACUUCUCAUUUUUUCUGCAUUGGCUGUUUAAUUGUUGUUUAUUUUCCCUGUCUGCCACUUCUGUUGGCAUGCUUGUGACAUUUUAUAAAUUUGCACUUUUGAAGUUAUUCUUUCUCUUUGUUUUCUUAAUGUUCUAUUACUAGUGUUUUUGUGUGCAGUUGCAGAAGCAUCAGCAUUAGCCAUAAGUAUGGUAAUUAGACAUGGGUACUGUCCUUUUUUGGAUUGUAAUUGGUAUGAAACAUAGGUUUUACCUUUUUUGAUAUGGCUAGUUUAGAUCUAUGAGUGCAAAUUAUUCACGAUUUUUUGGGAUAUUAUGUUUUUGUCCAAAUGUUAAGUAUUCCUAUUGUUGUUAAUUUUCAGCAGCUACUUGCAUGGCAAGUAUUAUUUGAAGGUCAUAUGAAUUUCUGAUUUGUCUCUUCUUAGAUUCUUUGUCAGACUUGUAAUUUGCAGCUUAAUUGUCUUUUUUUUUUUAACCUGUCUUGAGGUAUUUAGUUUCAGUUAUCUUGUAUAUGUUUUUUUAAUAUGACACUAAAUAAUAAGAAUUACAGAAGAUUGAGAGGUUAGGAGUUCCGACAGCUUCUAUUGGUUAUAGUUGAUUUCAAUUAUUAUUUUAAUUGCUUUAGGUUUUUCCUUGCAUUCUCUCAAAGGACUUCACAAUUUGCAGGAUUUAGGGUUUUUAUGAUCCUAGUGCUUUGAAAGAUUAGAUUGUCAUAACUCGCGAGUACUGUGAUCCAAAAUUCUCGAGUCUCUUUUGUGGUAGAUUCUAAAUGUAUCACUGAUGUGGUUGGUGAUGCUGUGGUGUUUAUGUGGUUAUUAUCUGUGUGGUGCGCACACAGACCCAAAGGUGCAGUUUGUUAAGGAUGCUUUGCUUUCCGUUGAAUUAUUAAAAUAGGUUUUCCAUUAGAUAGUGUUAUCUUUAAGGGGUUUCUUUGCUGUGACAUACAUUGCUUAUUAUCUGGUUUGAACAAUGGGUCCUCGUUACUUUCAAGUUUCAACUAUUAUUUGUUGCACUUAUGUGCACAUGUUGGUGUUUUGAUAUGGUUCUCAUCAAAAUAUGGAUUGUUUUUAUUUGUUGUGUGCAAGGGAAAGGAGAUGGACAUCUAGUUUUGCAUGGGCAUGUGACAAUAGAUUUUUGAAAGAGAGAUGUGAAUGUUUUGCUACCUUCCUAUGGCAUUUGGUUUUCAGUAUGCUCUAACCCUAUCAUCAACAUUGCUGUGUCUGUUGUUUAUCUCUUGUUGGAUAUAGAAGUUUCUCAAGGAAGAGGUUCCAUUAACUGGCUGUUUAAUCGUUGAUUAUUUUCCCUAUCCUACUACUUUCGUCAGCUUACUUGGUACAUUUUAUAAAUUUGCUUUUUUGAAGUUAGUCUUUCUCUAUGUUUUCUGAAUGUUCUAUUCCUAGUGUUUUUGUUUGCAGUUGCAGAAGCAUCAGCAUUUCCCAUAAUUUUGGUAUUUAGACAUGGUAACUGACCUUUCUUGGAUUGUAUUUGGUAUGAAACAAUAGAUUUUUCCUUUUUGACAAGGCUAGAUUAGAUUUGGGUGUGCAAAUUAUGCACGAAUUUUUGAGAUAUUAUUUUUUUGUCCAAUUGUUAAUUAUCCUUGUGAAUUUUCAGCAGUUACUUGCUGGACAAGUCUUUUUAGAAGAUCAUUUGAAUGUCUCGUUCAUCUCUUCUGGGAUUCUCUCAGAUUUCUACUUUGGUUAGGAGUUAUGACAGCGUCUAUUGGUUGAAGUUAAUUCUGAUUAUUAUGUUAAGCACUUGAGGCGUUUCCUUAUGUUCUCUCAGAGGACUUCACAAUUUGCAGCAUUAAUAUUUUUUAUGCUUCUAGUGCUUUGAAAGAUUUGAUUGUCAUAACUCACGAGUACUGUGAUCCGAAAUUCUCAAUCUCUUGUGGCAGAUUCUAUGUAUAUUAUCAAUGUGGUUGGUGAGGCUGUGUUGUUUAUGUGGUUAUUAUCUGUUUGGAGACCACACGAAGCCCAUGAUGCAGUUUGUCAAGCAUGCUCUGGUUUCUGUUGAAUGAUUAAAAUAGGUUUUCCAUUAGAUGGUGUUAUAUUUAAGGGGUUUCUUUGCUGUAACAUGCUGCUUAUUAUCAUGGAUGCAGGUCUUCCGAAAUGCUCUGAACAAUGGAUGCAUCUGUUUUGUGCUGGUUUAGUUGGCCCUCACUACUUUCAACUAUUAUUUGUUGCACUUAAUGUGCACAAGUUGGUCAUUUGAUACAGUUACUCAUCAAAAUAUGUUUGUUUGUUUUUAUUUUUGUCAAAAGGAAAGCAUAUGGGCAUCUAGUUUUGCAUGGGCACGUGAGUGUUUUGCUUUGGUCCAAUGGUAUUUGGUUUUAAACAUUAUCUAACCGUCAUCAGCAUUGCUGCAUCUGUUGGAUAUCUCUACUACUUAAGUCAGCAAGCUUGGUACAUUUUAUAAAUUUGCACUUUUGAAGUUAGUCUUUUUCUAUGUUUUCUGUAUGUUCUAUUCAUAGUGUUUUUGUGUGGUGUUCCAGAAGCAUCAGCAUUAGCCAUAUGUCUGGUGAUUAGACAUGGAUACUGACCUUUCUUGGGUUGUAUUUGGUAUUAGAUAUAGGUUUUACAUUUUUGAUAAGGCUAGUUUAGAUUUAGGAGUGCGAAUUAUGAGUGAACUAGAUAUUUUUUUUUGUCCAAAUGUUAAUUAUUCUUGUUGUGAUGAAUUUUCAGCAGUUCCUUGGUUGGCAAGUCUUAUUAGAAGCAAGCUUUGCGAUUUUGAAUCAUACCGCCCGUAUUGGACAGUAUGUACCGGGCGAUACGCGGACUGCUCGCUACUGAGCGGUCCACUCGAUAUAGUCCCGUAUUAGACGAUACAGGGCUGUUUCGGGCAGUAACGGUUGAAAUUUUGAUCAUUACCGUCUACUAUUGGGCGGUAUUAACCUAGCUAUGGCGAAGUUGAGGGAGAAGCAUCGAAGAAGGAAGAAGGAGAGGGCGUUCAAAGAAGAGGGAGAAGAAGAGAAAACCAUUUCCAUAUUGGGUUAAUUGCAUCCAUUGGUAUUCAUGUUUGGUUGUAGAGGUUAUCCGCCGAUUUUGUUGAAUUUUCUUGAAUUCCAUAGAGCCAUGGUUUCCAAUGGCCUGAUGGCUGUUCAUUUAUUGCCAAAAUGCAGUCCAACCAUUCCACGGAAUUACAUUUGGAUGGACAUUAUUUUCACUUUGACUUUGUGAACCUUUGGCUCUUAAAAGUACUCUUUUGGGUUUUUACUAUAAUAACAACAACUAUAAAAUCGUAAGUCCUGAUUAUUUGGGCUCGGCUACUUGGAUCUUUUGCCAUCAUUGAAAUAUGUAAAAAGUUAUAUGUUUAGUUAAGUUUAAAGUAUUUAAAUCUUUAUUUAUAAUUUUUAUUAAAGUCUUUUUAGGUCUUUCUCUACCUCUUCUCAUACUACUAACAUAUUAAUUAUUUUAUCUUUUUUAACUACCACUCUUUUGGGUUUCUCUUCUUAAUUAACUUCUGUUUCUCUUUUGAAUCAUGUUUCCUUAUAUCUUGUUUGGAAGUUAGGACAUGGUAAUGAUGGCUCAUACAGGUACUUAUUGCCAUAAAUGAGUUUUGGUUGGUGGUCUUGGGUUAUGAUAAUUGUCCUUGAUUGUUAUAUGGAUUUGUGAAGCAAUUCUAUACCUGCAAGUGAUGGCUUUGAAUAAAAGUGUUUUAAGAUGCAUUGUUUCUCUUUCCAUGUAACAGUUUGGAGGUACAAACAUGCCAUGUUCUCUUGAUUUUUUUCCUUGAAACUCAUUCCAUAUUGCUGAUCUUUAGUAGAAUUGUUAUCUUCGUGGGCUGAAGUACCAUUUUGUUGGUCAUUAUAUUUGUUGUUAGUCUACUUGAAGCUUGUUUUGGGAGCUACCUAUCACAUUUUUCUAAUAGUUCUGUUAUUUUUCUAGACAUGGAGGUUUUGGAAUAUCAUGUUAUUAACUAAAGCAUGGAGCCUUCACAUUGUAAACAAAGGAGUCUUAACUUUUGUCAAGGUAUCUUCUUGUAGAGACCCAAUUGCAGAUCGAAUAUUUCAUUGAUGAAGAUUCUUACAACCAUAUUUGAUACAAACAAGAUUUCAAGAUUAUUGUUUUGGUUAGCAUGAAGAAUAGAAGUUCUAUCUGCACUCAUAGUCAAAUAUUUUGCUUCAGCUUCUUCUUGUUCUUCUGGAGGGAGAUGUCUUUUGAAAGGGGGUCAAAAAAAUCUCAAAUUGUUUGCAUGUUGUUUUCGAUUGUAUAGACAAAUAUGUUAAGUUCUAACGCAAUCAACGUUAGGUCUUUGAGUUUUUUUUUUUUAGUAUGGAUCAAAAUGUUAUAGAUGAACUUUGUGAAGUUAUAAUGAUGGUUACUGUGUUUCUUUGA
Molecule: long non-coding RNA, 7044 nt
Organism: Musa acuminata AAA Group (dessert banana)
Lineage: Eukaryota; Viridiplantae; Streptophyta; Magnoliopsida; Zingiberales; Musaceae
Exons: 2
Source: RefSeq, a predicted model, not a curated record